Molecule: ribosomal RNA, 446 nt
Filed under: uncultured bacterium
Lineage: Bacteria
Description: bacterial SSU rRNA
Rfam family: Bacterial small subunit ribosomal RNA
Source: RNAcentral
GGUAUGGGAUGAGCUUGCGUCCGAUUAGCUAGUUGGCGGGGCAACGGCCCACCAAGGCGACGAUCGGUAGCCGGCCUGAGAGGGUGAUCGGCCACAUUGGGACUGAGAUACGGCCCUGACUCCUACGGGAGGCAGCAGUAGGGAAUAUUGCACAAUGGGGGGAACCCUGAUGCAGCAACGCCACGUGUGGGAAGAAGCAUUUCGGUGUGUAAACCACUGUCGUGAGGGAAUAAGGCCUGUUCUAGGACAGGAUUGAAUGUACCUCGAAAGGAAGCACCGGCAAACUUCGUGCCAGCAGCCGCGGUAAUACGAGGGGUGCAAGCGUUGUUCGGAAUCACUGGGCGUAAAGGGAGCGUAGGCGGAGAUUCAAGCGGAUUGUACAAUCCCGGGGCCCAACCCCGGACCUGCAGUCCGAACUGGAUCUCUUGGAUAGUUCAGGGGCAGGC